UGCCUUCGCUUACCCAGCCCUCCACGCCCCCCCUGCCCCCAACCCCCUCCCUCUCCCAGCAUUCCAAGCGGCCGAGGCUGACCCUGUCUCUCUCCAUGAUUUAGGUUUUGGAGAAGGACCGGAGAGGAUUUGUUUUGACGUUUAAAGGCAAUCCAGUAUCUAUUUCUGACGCAGCUGACAUGCCAUUUCCUCGGGCGGCGCAAGGCGGGCUCGGCUCUAAAUUAAACUCGUCUCCGACCCCUCGGAUCUGCAGGCCGUUCGGGGGCAGACCUGGCGAGGAAGCAGGAGAGGCCUGCUGGCCGGCGGUGAUGUAUGGAGCGGAGGGGAGCCCCGGGCGCUGGAACCGAGGCCCCCUCUGCGCAUUAACGAAUGACAGAGGAUGUCCCCAAGUCUCCUAAUCACCUCUAAUGCGCACGUGUGGAAGCGAACUUUCAAGCAGGCGAGAUAAGCGGCAACCGUGAAUGGCCAUCUUGCUAUCGUUUUAAAUCCCCAUGGCAGAUUUAGAGAGAAGCAAUUGGCCCACCUAUCCAAGGAGACAAUCGUGAAAAACAGCUCAGUCCCCGACCUCAACG
Molecule: long non-coding RNA, 572 nt
Organism: Eptesicus fuscus (big brown bat)
Lineage: Eukaryota; Metazoa; Chordata; Mammalia; Chiroptera; Vespertilionidae
Exons: 4
Source: RefSeq, a predicted model, not a curated record